AUCAAGUUUAAGGCAUGGUGAUGCUUUAUAGUAAGCCAUCCAUUAUGAUUAAAUACAGGCUCAUGUUCUUCUGAACUCUGAAAUCUGAUUUGAAACUUUGUUGGACUUCUGUGGACACACAGUUAUCCUUUUAGUGAGUUUGUAUUUUAUCUGGGACCAGUACACUCAUUCCAAGCUGAUUAGUACACUGUGUGCUGUAAUUGUUUCUCUAAUACACUUAAAUCACAAUGAUAUUUAUAUGCUGUAGGAGUACUUAAAACCUAAAACCCCCUUUUUACCAGUAGUAAAAAUCCAUGUAUGACUGAGUGACUGAUAGAUAAUUUCUGGUGGUGAAAUAAUUGCUGUAGGUUGUAUGUUUUCAUUUUUUAAGUCCUUUUCUUAUAGGUGGGAUAGUUCUCCAGCCAACCUUCAGAGGACCUAUGCAAAGCCAGGAAAGACCCUUUGGAGUCCUGCAAGGUUCAAGUAGGCAGAAGGAUCCACCCUCCCCAUGGGCAACAGAUAUUUUUUUCAAGGUUUUGCUGUGGUGUCUCUGUUCUGGAGUGAAAUGAGUAUUUAACUAAAUUAAAUGAGCUUUUCACUGAAAUGAAAACAACAGGCCUCCUUUUUAAUUCAAGGUAAACACUAUUUGUGAAAGACUUGAUUUCCUUUGAAAUAUCUACUAACCAAAUGUUGAUUUCCCGAAUUUAAGACUAAUAUUUGUUAACAGCAAAAUUAUCAUCAAUCAGGACUAAAUUUCCAAGAACACAGACAGGCACAUAAUGCCUGAUGAAAUAUGGUGACGUAAAUGAAAAUCAUUUAACUUAAGAGGGACAGAACCGGGAGCAGGAUUAUUUCUGUGACUCUCAAUUCUUAACUAUUUCAUUACUCCAUACACUUUAAGGAAAGAAGGAGCUGCAAUUCCUAUUUCUCUUGUCUAUGCAAGCAGGUAGAGAAAUCCACAUGGGUACUGAGCCAGUUACAAUUGUUUUUGAUGUGUGUUCUCCAGCAAUGUAUUCAGAGA
This 1000-nucleotide long non-coding RNA is filed under the name Parus major (Great Tit). RNAcentral describes it as "lncRNA (ENSPMJG00000011091.1)". Lineage: Eukaryota; Metazoa; Chordata; Aves; Passeriformes; Paridae. The record is from RNAcentral.